AGCGCAGGCGGUUUCUUAAGUCUGAUGUGAAAGCCCGCGGCUCAACGGGGGAGGGUCAUUGGAUACUGGGAGACUUGAGUGCAGAAGAGGAGAGUGGAAUUCCAUGUGUAGCGGUGAAAUGCGUAGAUAUAUGGAGGACCACCAGUGGCGAAGGCGGCUCUCUGGUCUGUAACUGACGCUGAGGCUCGCAAGCGUGGGGAGCACACAGGAUUAGAUACCCUGGUAGUCCACGCCGUAAACGA
RNAcentral lists this ribosomal RNA (242 nucleotides) under Enterococcus faecalis. Its description in RNAcentral is "partial 16S ribosomal RNA". It matches the Rfam family "Bacterial small subunit ribosomal RNA", at positions 568 to 809 of the family's 1533-position model. Lineage: Bacteria; Bacillati; Bacillota; Bacilli; Lactobacillales; Enterococcaceae. The record is from RNAcentral.